RNAcentral lists this ribosomal RNA (520 nucleotides) under uncultured Glomeraceae. RNAcentral's name for it is "SSU rRNA". It matches the Rfam family "Eukaryotic small subunit ribosomal RNA", at positions 569 to 1092 of the family's 1831-position model. Lineage: Eukaryota; Fungi; Glomeromycota; Glomeromycetes; Glomerales; Glomeraceae. The record is from RNAcentral.
AGCAGCCGCGGUAAUUCCAGCUCCAAUAGCGUAUAUUAAAGUUGUUGCAGUUAAAAAGCUCGUAGUUGAAUUUCGGGAUCAAUAUGUUGGUCGUGCCUUGGUACGUACUAAUUUAUUGGUUUCUUCCUUCUGACGAACCUUGAUGUCAUUAAUUUGGUGUCUUGGGGAAUCGGGACUGUUACUUUGAAAAAAUUAGAGUGUUUAAAGCAGGCUCACGCUUGAAUACAUUAGCAUGGAAUAAUGAAAUAGGACGUUUGAUUCUAUUUUGUUGGUUUCUAGGAUCGACGUAAUGAUUAAUAGGGAUAGUUGGGGGCAUUAGUAUUCAAUUGUCAGAGGUGAAAUUCUUGGAUUUAUUGAAGACUAACUACUGCGAAAGCAUUUGCCAAGGAUGUUUUCAUUAAUCAAGAACGAAAGUUAGGGGAUCGAAGACGAUCAGAUACCGUCGUAGUCUUAACCAUAAACUAUGCCGACUAGGGAUCGGAUGAUGUUAAUUUUUUAAUGACUCACUCGGCGCCUUACG